CCCGAUUUUCCCGACUAGUGGGUGUUUCUGGUGAUAAAAUUUUUUCAAACUUAUCAGCAACACUCUUGAUAGUAGAAUUAUUCUCCUCACCGGAUUUCCGUGCCCCAUCUUCUGAUACACUCAGAAAUUGCAACUUUAGAUCCAUUGCACUUUCUUUCUCACUUGUCACAUUGCUAAAACUUUCAGAUUCAAGAGCUACUGACAGCUUCUCAGCAUCGUUCUUGCUAUUUGAUGGCCUCCGCAUGUGAGCUGGCCUGAGCAACAUGCCAGGUUUUGUCCUUGAAAAGGUGACUGUUUCCCUUCCAGAAUUGAAAGACUUCUUUUCGAUGGGACUGUCCCGAGGUACAACAGUGGGCACAACAAAGGAUUUAUUAAGUGCUUCCCCACCAGCUUUUCCAUUCACUCCUGCUAUGGAACUUUUCUUCUCUGUUGGUG
RNAcentral lists this unclassified non-coding RNA (435 nucleotides) under Hevea brasiliensis (rubber tree). Lineage: Eukaryota; Viridiplantae; Streptophyta; Magnoliopsida; Malpighiales; Euphorbiaceae. The record is from RNAcentral.